UGUUCAGAGCAGCGUCAGUUCUCCUCCAGACCCAUUUCUCCUCCAAAAUCUGCACAUCUAUUGAAGUUGCAGGAAUGGCUACAGCUUUACCAGCUGCAGGGCGCCAAGCUUUGGUUCUUCCGCUGCUGCAGCACGAGAACCCUGAGGCCUCAUGAACAUGCCGAGCCUCAUCAGACCGCCAUGACCAUCCCAGCUGAGCCGCCCAACGACAACAUCAUCUGGGCUCUCAUUUCCUUUGUGCAUGAAAAUCCGUUCCGCCUGGGACUGGUGGCCCUCCUCUACUCCUUAAAGCUUCGCGUCAUCCGCCCAUGCUGAGCAUCUCCGCACAACAACCACAUAAACCACCUGGUUUUCCUGUGAGUGAAGAGGUUUCUCAUAGCAAAACCUUCUGCUAGGGACUUGUGUGCAGGAACUCGACUCAAAUCCAAACUCCAGAGAAAUUGUGAGGUGUGAACAGACAAUGGAAAGGGCCAGCAGAGACGGAAUGGACCAGAGAGAUGUGGGAGACCAUUAAACCAGAGUGAGAACAGCUGAGUAUGUAGAAAUGAAAUGAAUGUUAAAAUCACAAACCCACAGAGAACAGGAACUAGAGAAACAGUAAAUAGGUGGAGCGCCACUUAGCUAACGCAAUGAAAAGUCAGACACAGAAGUGAGAUAAAACGGGAAGGAAAGAGAAGGAAGGAGAACUAAAUAAAACACAGAACUAUAACACUAAAUGGAACCAAAACCACAACUGAAAGUGCAUUUGCAUUUUUCUACACUUUGACAAACUUAAGUCAAUAAAAGUCUGGACUGGAUUAGUGAUGAAGAUGAAGAAAACCAACUUUAAAUGAUCCCAAAUUUCAAUGGGAUCCCUUUCUACUGAACCCAGUUCAAAAACCCUGGGUUCAGAUUGAUACCCCAGUGGACCGAAAAAGAUUUAAAAUGACUAUUCUCUACUUUGAAAGAGUGUGUUCAGGUUGUAGCAACUCAAAAAAAGAAGCUGUUGUAAUAUGACAAAUGAAAAGAAAAACAUCACACCGACUGUAAAAUGUAAACAUAGUUUGUUAGACAUCAUAUUCUAGACUCUCUCUGACUGCGUGGCAGAUCAUGUCUGAGAAGAAAUGUCUUCUACCAAACAAAAGUGGCUUCUUCUUUCCACGAUGUCGAGUUGUGUUUUCAGUCAGAGAGAAAUCAGUCGUGACGGCUACAAACGGCCAAAGGUUUCAGACAAGAAGGGAGUUACCAUUGUUUCUAGAUUGAGUCCGGUUUAAAAUGAAUAUUUUUG
Molecule: long non-coding RNA, 1267 nt
Organism: Xiphophorus hellerii (green swordtail)
Lineage: Eukaryota; Metazoa; Chordata; Actinopteri; Cyprinodontiformes; Poeciliidae
Exons: 3
Source: RefSeq, a predicted model, not a curated record